CCCUAAACGGCCGCGGCACUAAAACCGUGCAAAGGUAGCACAAUCACUUGUCCAUUAAAUGAGGACCCGUAUGAAAGGCAACAUGAGAGAAAACCUGUCUCCUAAGGCUAGCCAAUGAAAUUGUACUACCAGUACAAAAACUGGUAUAUCAAAGCAAGACAAAAAGACCCUGUGGAACUUUUAACAAAUUAUUUAAACACAUAAAUAAUAGUUUCAGUUGGGACAACUUUAGAAAAAAUAAACUUCUUAAUUUACCAAGACAAACAAGUCUAAGACAACACAGACCCAGUAAUACUGAUUAACGAAACAAGCUACCCCAGGGAUAACAGCGCCACCUUCUCAAAGAGUCCAUAUCAACAAGAAGAUCUACGACCUCGAUGUUGGAUCAGGGUACCCAGACGGUGCAACAGCUGUCAAUGGUUCGUUUGUUCAACGAUUAAUACCCUACGUGAUCUGAGUUCAGA
This 464-nucleotide ribosomal RNA is filed under the name Trioceros rudis. Its description in RNAcentral is "partial 16S ribosomal RNA". It matches the Rfam family "Bacterial large subunit ribosomal RNA", at positions 1921 to 2615 of the family's 2925-position model. Lineage: Eukaryota; Metazoa; Chordata; Lepidosauria; Squamata; Chamaeleonidae. The record is from RNAcentral.